GGGGCCGACCGGUUUUGACAGGAAGGCAAAAUGCAAUGCUUGCAUACCGGGUGAAGAGUGUACAUCCGCAAUCAAUAUACUCGAUUUUUACUUGGCGAAUCUAAUUACGCCAUGGCCGCCUAAUUCUGAAUUGAAUUCAGAAUAGAGGCUUAAUUGAUUUUGGCAAUAAACCAGAAUCAGGCCACAUCUCACCUGCCUACGCCUUGCUGGCGGGAUUUUGGGGUGUCGAAACGCAAGACUAGUGCUGACCCAUGUUGCCAAGUCAGUGCGAAAAUAUCGCAACUAGCCAUAAACUAGGAGGUUGUCAUCCGGGUUUAUGGUAAAACUAAAUUGACAACUAUGUAUGUAGACGGCCUUGGAUUUCCUUGUCUGGACGUGGGUUCGACUCCCACCGGCUCCACCU
This 403-nucleotide transfer-messenger RNA is filed under the name Cytophagales. RNAcentral describes it as "CCMP332 sp014323545 Standard tmRNA". It matches the Rfam family "transfer-messenger RNA". From Rfam's summary of the family: Bacterial tmRNA, also known as 10Sa RNA or SsrA, is named for its dual tRNA and mRNA-like properties. Its role is to liberate the mRNA from a stalled ribosome. To accomplish this part of the tmRNA is used as a reading frame that ends in a translation stop signal. Lineage: Bacteria; Pseudomonadati; Bacteroidota; Cytophagia. The record is from RNAcentral. RNAcentral also lists the same sequence under 1 other name.